Molecule: long non-coding RNA, 949 nt
Filed under: Equus caballus (horse)
Lineage: Eukaryota; Metazoa; Chordata; Mammalia; Perissodactyla; Equidae
Description: lncRNA (ENSECAG00000038093.3)
Source: RNAcentral
UCCUUCCUCCUCCCUGCCCGCAGCUCAAGGCAGCCCUGAAAUUACCGCGGAGCUGAUUGCUGAGCACUCAGACAACUGUGGCAUUUAUCUUCAUUUCUGGCCACAUUCUCUUGUAGUGGCCUGUGGAUAAAUGACAGAGAGGAAGGUUAAGUAAAACUGUCCCUCAUCCCUGUUGGAUCCGGUGGGAAACUAGUAUUUCCUCCAGGCCAGACUGCACCAGGAUAUAACCUGAGGAUGUGGGAGCCUACAACUUCAACAUUGUUGAGUUACCAUUGUGUGUCAAUGCCAAGAUUCCUGCCUUCUGCCCUGCCCCCAGCACUUCUGAUGCUGCAUUGUAUCAGCACACGCAGAUGAAUCUCAGACCACCCAGAGCUAAGAAACUUCUCUUCAGAAUGGUCUCAUUUGGAGACAUUGAGAGGAAUGGCUUCCCUUCCUUCGCUGGAUUUUAGCAUAUUUUGGAGCAAGGAUAGAUGACAGCUUUGAGAAGAUGAGACUGCAGGGCACAGGCACACACUGGAUUGACCCAGUGGGAAGCAAGGAAAUCUCAGUUCAGAGUUGGAUGUCCUCCACAGAACAGGCUGGUUGACUCCCACGAUGCCAGUCAGCUAGGCUGAGUUUCAAGUUGUCAGUCCACUGCUAUGCUUGCUCCUCUGGGAAAAAUGAAAACACAACAACUGUGGGUUACCCAUGGACUAUUGGUGUUGGUCAACAUGUCCCUGCAGGACCCCCUCCCCAGCUAUUUCUCUUUUUAGAAGAUAGAAGCCUUGGAUACCAGUGCUGGCUGCUCCUCAGCUCGGUCAGCCGCCCAAAGCCCUCCCAGGUUCCUGUGGGCACGCUGUCACAUUCACGUUUCACUGCUCUGGACUGCGAAAACAGCUUUUCACAAACUAAACAACCAAAAGCCCCGGACAAGUGUAUCUGAAUUUGUGAAGGUCUCUGGGAGUGUUUU